UACGUAGGUGACAAGCGUUGUCCGGAUUUACUGGGUGUAAAGGGCGCGUAGGCGGGAUAGCAAGUCAGCCGUGAAAUGCCGGAGCUUAACUCCGGAGCUGCGGUUGAAACUGUUAUUCUUGAGUAUCGGAGAGGAAAGCGGAAUUCCUAGUGUAGCGGUGAAAUGCGUAGAUAUUAGGAGGAACACCGGUGGCGAAGGCGGCUUUCUGGACGACAACUGACGCUGAGGCGCGAAAGUGUGGGGAG
This 245-nucleotide ribosomal RNA is filed under the name uncultured Oscillospiraceae bacterium. Its description in RNAcentral is "partial 16S ribosomal RNA". It matches the Rfam family "Bacterial small subunit ribosomal RNA", at positions 524 to 768 of the family's 1533-position model. The record is from RNAcentral. Lineage: Bacteria; Bacillati; Bacillota; Clostridia; Eubacteriales; Oscillospiraceae.